AAAUAAUGACCUAGCAUAUGGAACAGCUAAACACACUUCAAUGGGUUACUUUUUUGGAUUAAUCACAUGACAACCAAUGACAAAAUAAAAAAGCCAAACAAGAAAACAAGACAAAUGAACAUGAACCAUUGAAUUAAUAACAAGAUAACAAGACUAUUGGCUUGUUCGAGAUGAACUACACUAGCUGCCACCGGCUGGCAAAAUCUGCUGGUAGCAGGCAGGGGAGAAGUAAAGAGAUGUCUGUCAGCGCUCCCACUCAAUAUUAAGCCCCUCACAGGUAUUUGAAGCCCAUCUCUCACCGGAUGUGAUCCAGGCUCCCCAGCAGCGCUGUGAGUAAUGAUCCUCCAUCAGUCUUGCUCUUCAGCACUACCGCAGGGAGGAUCCAUAAUUACAGCAUCUCUGCUUCGGCCUGCUACAACCGCCUCGCCGACAGUGACAAUAUUGAGAUGAUGGCAGAAAUAAUUUCCUUUGAAAUUAAUGAAUGGUAAAUAAUUACUCUACAUACCCGGAGAAGCUGCUGGAUGGGAAUUGGAAGAAAGGAAAGAAAUAUGAAUAGACAAUCUCGACACCUCAAGGGGCAGAGGAGGGCAGGCACGAGGAAGAGAUGGAGGAACUCUUUCAUGGCCUUCAGGGAAGAAGAUAUCUGUUUGUUGCGACUGAACGCUGCUUACUUCUGCAUGGAGUUCCUCCCCUCUGUGAGCGCUACAAUCCUCAUUCAUUCAUCAAGAGAAUCAAAGAGCAGAGGGCCCGGUGUACCCAGCAUUAGCAUAUCAAAGCCACUCUUAUUUCUAAUUCCAUCUAAAGUAAUUGUUAAAUGAACAUUGUUAACUGCUGACUAGGGCUAGGAUAUUGGAAAAAAACAUCUACAUUCAAGAGGAGGUAGCGGUGGUGUGAUCAAAGGUAUGGUAAUAUCUGCAUAAAACAGCGAGGAGCUUUGACAACACUGAGCAGGAGGUACCAAGCAAGACUUUUUUUGUUUUGUUUUAGACAGGGUGGAUGGGAGAUGUGACUUUUAAUCUCACAAUUGUGGCUUUUGAUUUCACAGCAUGACUUUUUUCUUUCAUUGCAAUUUCAUCUACAUUGUUUUUAAUGUAAGAG
Molecule: long non-coding RNA, 1098 nt
Organism: Cyprinus carpio carpio
Lineage: Eukaryota; Metazoa; Chordata; Actinopteri; Cypriniformes; Cyprinidae
Source: Ensembl